CACAUUUCACUUGUUUUCUUGGGUUCCUUUCCUCAGAUACUUAAAAAUAUUUUAAUGGAACAUUUGAAUAAGAAAAUAGGUGCAAGUGCAGAAUGGCAGUAUGAUGCAGUAUGUUUUCCUAAACGUAGAUUAAAUCUCCCACUAUGUUAUGUUACUUUCUGUAAAGUAUUCCCUAUCCCUGCUCAUCCUGUAAGGAGCAGAAAGAGUGAAUCUCUGUGAUGGAUGACAGUGUUGUGAGGUUCUUCUGUACUUGUAAAUAGGCCAUAAAUUACGUUGCCUAUUGGCUUCUAAAUACUGGAAAGAUAGUCAUCUGUUGCAGAGUCCCAUUAGCAACUUUUUUCAGCAUGAAAAACGUUUUUAUCUUUUCUGUGUGGGUGUGAAUGUGCAUUGUCUUUUUCUGGUGUUGAGGUACCUAGCAUUGCAUGUAAAAAUGGAAGUAGACCUGCUUGAGUCAUCCAGUGAAGACUUGCUUUUGCAAUUCUGUUGCUGUGAUAAGAGAACUCCCACRCACAGUGCACAAGAUGGCCAGAGCUGUAGGUGGUGUGCUGGAAGAGUAUGUAUCAAGCUCCUGCUUCAUUUGCUAUAGAUGUGGUGAGAUCUUAAGUAGACAAAGCAGAGACUGUAAGACGGGAAAGAAAGGGUCUCAUGAGCGAGUCAUUUGCAGGUGACAUAGAAGAGACAAGGACUGCACUUGCUUCUGCUUUAUAUGCAGUCAAUAACUGAACAUUUCCCUACCUUUGGGAUGCCUGUCUAUGUGUUUUUUUUUUUUCUUUGCUAAAAGAGCUGUCGGUUGGACAUUUAGAGUAGCAAAUAAUCUGAAAAAUCAGGUUCUCUCUAUUCUCAGUUCUCUAUUUGUGACAGCGUUCUCAAUUGGGUGACUGUGAAAAUCAACUUGUGAAUUUGUGAGGCCCUCAAACCCGUAGCAAUGAGUGCUAUAAAAACAUCUUGAGGAAAUUAAUAGUCGUCUUUGGAGUAGGGUUUGAAUUGUAUUCAAUAAAAAGUUUGGCCUAUACA
This 1014-nucleotide long non-coding RNA is filed under the name Apteryx rowi (Okarito brown kiwi). Its description in RNAcentral is "lncRNA (ENSARWG00000012681.1)". The record is from RNAcentral. Lineage: Eukaryota; Metazoa; Chordata; Aves; Apterygiformes; Apterygidae.